CCAAUAGCGUAUAUUAAAGUUGUUGCAGUUAAAAAGCUCGUAGUUGAAUUUCGGGAUCAAUAUAUCGGUCGUGCCAUCGGUACGUACUGGUAUGAUUGGUUUCUCCUUUCUGACGAACCAUGAUGUCAUUAAUUUGGUGUUGUGGGAAGUUAGGACUGUUACUUUGAAAAAAUUAGAGUGUUUAAAGCAGGCUUUGGCUUGAAUACAUUAGCAUGGAAUAAUGAAAUAGGACGUUCGAACCUAUUUUGUUGGUUUCUAGGAUCAACGUAAUGAUUAAUAGGGAUAGUUGGGGGCAUUAGUAUUCAAUUGUCAGAGGUGAAAUUCUUGGAUUUAUUGAAGACUAACUACUGCGAAAGCAUUUGCCAAGGAUGUUUUCAUUAAUCAAGAACGAAAGUUAGGGGAUCGAAGACGAUCAGAUACCGUCGUAGUCUUAACCAUAAACUAUGCCGACUAGGGAUCGGAUGAUGUUAAUUUUUUAAUGACUCAUUCGGCGCCUUACG
This 500-nucleotide ribosomal RNA is filed under the name uncultured Glomeromycotina. Its description in RNAcentral is "partial small subunit ribosomal RNA". It matches the Rfam family "Eukaryotic small subunit ribosomal RNA", at positions 591 to 1092 of the family's 1831-position model. The record is from RNAcentral. Lineage: Eukaryota; Fungi; Glomeromycota.